This 423-nucleotide ribosomal RNA is filed under the name Triticum aestivum (bread wheat). RNAcentral describes it as "partial small subunit ribosomal RNA". Lineage: Eukaryota; Viridiplantae; Streptophyta; Magnoliopsida; Poales; Poaceae. The record is from RNAcentral.
AUGCUCCUUGGCUCUUCACAUCCAUCCCGCUCCUUGGCAGCUCCGCUGGUCGCCGGGCUUCUGGUGAAGAUCUUCAUGUGGGUCCUGGAGAUGCCGGUGGUGGGCUGGGUCCUGCUCUACAUCCUAAAGAAGGACAAUCUCAUCAACAAGCUUGUCUCCGAAGCUGAGAUCCCCGAGCCGCCACUGUUUACCUCGACCCACCGCUGGGAAGACACCCCGGAGCAGAACGUCAGCCUGACGAAGCCCGGCCUGUCGACGGCCGAGCGUGUCCGGGAGGCCAUCGACUGCCUCCCCGCGCGCCAAAUCAGAUUCAAUAAUUUGGUUGAAAAGGGACGGCAUGCUGAGGUGUACAAAGGACAGCUUGCUGAUGGACAGUUUGUGGCAGUGAAGGGGUUAACAAAAAUACUUAACCAAGCAUGCUGA